UUGUUAAACAGAUUAUUGAGGCCCAGCCCCCAGAAUUUCUGGUAGUAAGUCGUCUCUGGGGCCUGAGAAUUUAAUUUCUGACAGGGUUUCAGGUGGUGCAGAUGCUGAUCUGGAUUCAUAACUUUGAGAACCACUGCCUUUAGCCAAACUUUGUGACAUACACAUUGCAGAGAUUUGGGGAUCUGAAGACCUUGUCUUAGUCUGCAGUGGAAAUCUUCCUCCUCAGAUUCUUCUGGUUCCACAGGCAGGGUGCUAUCCUUCCUCAUUUAUUCUAUGCAAGGGGACCUUGGACAAAGCAGAAAAAAGCCACCUAGACCCAGAGCAGAGAGAGCCUGACAGGUUGUCAAAGUGAAUGCAGAACAAGCAACAGGAAUCUCAACUUGUGAUUUCUGCUGGGCAUUUAAAACUGCCCAGCAGAUUCUACCUGACACUCUUGUGUUCUCUUUAGAGAUCAAAGCCAUCUGAGAGCAGCAAAGCCCUCUGUUAGUGUAUACAUUGUAGGAUCCAUAGUAUGGAAUCUCCUCAACUUCAUGCUACAUGAAAACAGUGAGGGUUUCUAGUCUGGUUCAUGGGGCAUUGGUUCUUGGAGUUUUAAGAUAAUAGAUGUCCUUUUAUUAAGGCAGAAGACCCUAUAUAUUAAUUCAGUUAUCUCCGCCUACCUUGCAGGCAUAGAAUAUGGGUGGAAAGGGAAGAUGUUGGGGAAGCUUUGUCUGCAUAAAUAAUCAGUACUAUAGGGCCAGGGAUUUAGCUCAGUGUUUUCACCUCCUGCUGCGCAAGCACAAGGACCCAAGUUUGAUCCCCAGUACCAAAAAAAAAAAAAAA
Long non-coding RNA from Heterocephalus glaber (naked mole-rat), 822 nucleotides. Lineage: Eukaryota; Metazoa; Chordata; Mammalia; Rodentia; Bathyergidae. The record is from Ensembl.